This is a long non-coding RNA of Scylla paramamosain (green mud crab), 5913 nucleotides long. RefSeq lists it as uncharacterized. The transcript has 2 exons. Lineage: Eukaryota; Metazoa; Arthropoda; Malacostraca; Decapoda; Portunidae. The record is from RefSeq and is a predicted model, not a curated record.
ACCCUCAAAACCACAUUACGAACUGUCAGGAAAAAAGAAAAAAAACAAGAUUAAUAUUGAAAGAACCAUCUAUAUCCUUCUCUUCGACAACAACACACACACACACACACACACACACACACACACACACACACACACGUUCAAGAGAAAUCGACCUAUAUUACGUCAUCACAAUUCAAGACAACGACUUUUGAGUGUGAUGAGUGAGAAUUAUGAUGAUGAUGAUGGUGGUGGUGGUGGUGGUGGUGGUGAUAAAGUGAAGUGUGGUGUGUGCGGUGGAAAUGAGGUUAAGGGUAAAUGUUGUUGUUAUUGUUGUUGCUAUUGCUGUUGUUGUUAUUGUUUUUGUUGUUGUUGCUGUUGUUGUUGUUGUUAUAGUUGUUCUUGUUGUUGUUGUUGUUGGUGGUGGUGGUGGUGGUGGUGAUGGUGGUAUAUGCAGUGACGUCUGGUCAGGAAAAAGGAGGAAAGGGGUUAAGUUAAGGAGAGAAGAGGCUAAGGAAGGAGCAAGGAGUGCAAGGUACAAGUAUAUCAGACACAAGGGUAGGAAGGAGAUAAGGACAGAACUUCGGAAAAAGAGGGAAGGAGAGAGAGGAGAGAGGAGGGGUCUGUGGUGUGUGCGGGGAGGGUUAAGCUGGCAACCCUCAUGUCCCUUCAUCUCUCCUGUCACACGUACCUGCAAGAGACUCAUAACUAUUCUGGGCCUGUUUCCGCGCGCAGCAGUUCGCGGCCGUGGCUCCGUUGCGCAAGGUUGGUGUUUUAAGAGGCACGUCAGCUGGUGUUGUUGCGAAAGUGUUAAGGUGUGGUGGGAUGAGACAGCGUCCGUGGCGCGCUGAGGGAAAGUUGCGUACACUGGUGCUGCUUGCCGCGGCUCCCAGUGGCUACAAAUACUCCCACAGGCACAAGCUCCGCCACGCUCCCCACGUCCACCGACACGCUUGCAACUGCUCACCCUUACACACACACACACACACACACACACACACACACACACACAAGCAAAGGCCCAAGCCAAACACACACAUACACAUACACACAUACACACACACACACACACACACACACACACACACAUGUGACAUCCGGCCGCCACGGGCUGGGAAUAUCUCCGGCAGUCACCAGCACACCCUGCCGCUCUGCUUAGCGCCCCUGCGUGUUGUCAGUGCCUGGCGUGAACCUGUACACACACUGUAGUGUGGCAGGAACAACCCGCGGAGAGCUUGUGGUGCUUGUGUCGUGAUCCGUGACGAGUGGUGUGCUGUGAUGAUCAACCCUGCGGCCUCGUGACGCCUCGUGUUGUCCUUCACCCGCUUCUCCCCGCUCGCCACCAUGGCCCAGCACCGCGCCCCCCGUCCCUGUCCUCUUCCUACCACGAAGACUACUCGCAUGACAGCCCACUCCGGGCAAGCAGUGGCUCCACCUACUCGUCCUUUUCGUCCCUGGACAGCGUGGGUCUGGGUCUGGGUCGUGUGCCGCACCGCAGCAGCAGCUCCACGCCCACAUGCACACAGCGUUAUGUCCGCAGGUGGACGCCCUCCUCCCGUCACACCACCCCGACAGGCUACCUGCGAAGCCGACAUCUGAGUGUGUCCGUGUCCUGGCCCUCCACGGACUCCCUGGCCUGGUCCAGCGGCAGCAGCAGGCUCGGUACGCCUCUGAGAUCACAAUCAUCCAGGAGGAGCCACUCCCCACGCCCAUUCGUCGAAUCUGAUGCCAUCGAGGCCCCGGGCGUGCAACAGGAGGCCUUCACCCGCGCCUUCCUCUAUCCGUCAUCCCUUCACCGCAAUCUUCGCCUGGCCGCGCUGCUGCUGGUGACCGCCCACGUUACCUUCAAGACUGUGGUGCCCUGGCUGCUCUAACCCGCUGCUCGACACCAUAUCCCUGGAGUGGACGCCACGCUCGCUCCUCAUAGACAUCCCGUAACUGAGGCUCGGGCUCCACACCGCGACGUGCCUCCACGGUACAGGCAACGAGCUUAUUCAGGAAGCGCCGUGAACAAUGCAACAAAGCGAGUCACGAGGCGCAGGCUCAUAAAUACUGCUUACUCUUUUCUCCUCGCCUGAACGUCUGAAUACAUCGACGAGUCAUCAAGGGUCGAGCCACGUACUAUUAGUGACUAUUAUGCUAAGAGCCACUUUUCAUUGCUGCCUGUACUGAGUGUUCCCUGCCCUCAGUCCGGGAAGAACACGAGUGGAGGGAGGCUGUGAAUGGCGUGAGAGCGACGAACACCCAGUGAAAGAAGUGACUGCUAGAAUUUAAACGGUAUUACUGAGUCACUUCUAGUCAGCACUCAGCACUUCCUUGCCGAGGUGUAGGGGAAGUGAAAGUCAAGAAACGCAGGGACGCAGGGUUCACGGAGUUCAGUAUACGAUGUGUGCCUGAAUGGGAAACGGAAGGACACACACACACACACACACACACACACACACACACACACACACACACACACACACACACACACACACACACACACACACACACACACACGAAGGUCCUACUUAAAGCCAAUAGUAUUAAGACGUAAAAAAAAAAAAAAAAAAUGCGUAAAAAAGUGAGGAAAAAACCGCUGGCGUGUCCCUCUCGCCACGAACCGGAACUGAUAGUGCGGGAGGAGUUACGAGCCAGGUCACGAGUUAUGAGGCGAGCCAUGGGCGGGCAUGAAGUAAAUAUAUCGACUGGUGGAUCUCUGGUGUUCAUCAUUCUGGUUGGCACAGCGCUACCUGUUGGCAUUGCUGGCACUGCCCCUCGUGGUGCCGCGGUGGUGCGUGGUGACACCCCCCCUCCUACACUCUCUGCCCCAUCUUCUUGCUGGUGCCAGUGAGGAAGGAGAACGAGGACAUCAUGAGGGAGCUACAGGCGGCCUCGGCGGGGAUACACAACAACAUCACCGCGACGCAAGUUCCAUCCACUCAGCCUGACUCCAGCCCUGACCUCGCCUCCACCGGCCUCCCUAACCCAUCUUCCAGCCCCCUCACCCCGCCUCCAGCCCCCAACCCGCCAAUAGUCCAGACCCCAGCCAUUCCUGAAGCCCCGCGCCGCCCGCUCCUCGGCGUCUUGAAACUCCCUGGCUUUUAUCUCGUGGUGGGCAGCGCCUCGAGAUGCCUCGGGGUUGCGGCGGGACGGCGGCCUCCUCCUGCCCACCCCAGGAGUGUUUCUCGUCACCCUUCCAGGACAUGACGGGGACACACUGCUCCUCCCGUUACUCCCUCACCUUCACCUAGAAGGGUCCGCGUCAAAACGGAACUUCAUGUCUUUUACGAGGGAAGGGAAAACCAUCACUGGUUUCCCUUUUUUUCACGGCUGACAGUGGGCGCCCUGACCCCCGCCCGCACCCCGACCUUUGCCCCGCGCCAUCCGCCCCUCGCCCGGUCCCUGCUCUCACCCCUGAGGACGCGAGGCUUGGCGGGGAUGGAUUGGUGUGCACAGGGCAUGAGGUCAGGUUGGUGGUGUGGGCUCCGUGUCCGUUCCUGCCUGUGUCCCGCGAGGCGUCCUGCGCGGCGCUCGCUGUGUUGCUGUGCUCACCCCCACCGGCGGCCCAGGCUGGUUCCCCGGCACUGCGGCUGAGGUGCGGCGACAGAUCUCGUCACGUCAGUGGAUGUCUAUAAUCAAACGUCGUUGUUUUUAUAUACAGGUGACAUGAGUGGCAGUUUAUAUCUAAGGCAAUAAUUACCUUAGACAACAGGUGUGGUCCAGGUAGUGAGUGGCCCGUGUUGUUGCUGUUGUUGAGUGUCCAUGUUACUGUUCGAAGAGUGUUUAACCAAUUUUUUUUUUCGAUUUGUAUAGGUAUGUACAUCAGAACACCUGGACUCCACACGCUUUACUGUUUACAUCUUGGAAGGUUUAUUUUCCACCAGACAGAGUUAUUUACAAAACCCUAUGUCGUCACUUCAUUGUAAAUAUUGAUGAAUCUACGUGGUAAUGUCUACACGCUAUCUAUGAGAGUACUACUUCAUCUUGCUGUCAGCUGUUCUUACGCCUCCUAGUAACGCCUGCUGUAUUGGAACCUUUCUCCGGUAGUGCUGUAUGUAGUGCUGGUCAGGCGGGGAGAUGUGAGGGAGAAUAUAGCGAAGGACAGACUGGGAUAUGAAAUAAGGGAAGAAAAAGUCAGGCAAGAUGGGAUGAAGGAACGAAAAGGAAAAAGAGGGAUAAGGCAGGAAAGAGAAACGGAGUAAAGUAAGGAAGGAUGGAAGGGGGAAAAGAGGGGACGGAGGGAGAGAAGGACGGGUGAGAUGUGAGGUGGAGCUUUCAGGUUUAAAGACAAAAGGGCUGAGGGCGCUUGCAAUAAAGGGUGCAUUUAACAAUUACUAAUAAUUGCACUAAUACCGCUAUCACCACAAACACUACUACUACUACUACUACUACUACCACUAUUACUACUGCUACUACUACUACUACUACUACUACUACUACUACUACUACUACUACUACUACUACUACUACUAUUACUACUACUGCUACUACUACUACUACAAAGGUUUUAGAUAGUGAAGCACCCAAACUUUGUAACCCCGCCAGAGAGAGAGAGAGAGAGAGAGAGAGAGAGAGAGAGAGAGAGAGAGAGAGAGAGAGAGAGAGAGAGAGAGAGAGAGAGAGAGAGAGAGAGAGAGAGAGAGAGCACAGACAUCGCUUAAUGCACCUAAAGGGAGAUUAUUCUGCGGUGCACGACCACUCGGAGGGCGGAGGAGGAGGAGGAGGAGGAGGAGGAGGAGGAGGAGGAGGAGAGCGCAGGGAGUGAAGAGAAGAGGCAGGGGUAAGGUGAAGAGGUUAAAAAAAGGGUACAGAGAGAAACAAAGGAAUUAUUGAAGAAGGCAAGAGGAGAAUUGGAGAGAGAGGGAGAGAGAGAGAGAGUAAAGGAGAAAUUUAGAGAACGAGGAUAGGACUGAAUGAGGAGAAAAAGGAGAGGGAAAGAACGGAUGAGGAGUGACGGGAACUGGAAAGAUAAGAGCAGGGGGUGGAGAGAGAGAGAGAGAGAGAGAGAGAGAGAGAGAGAGAGAGAGAGAGAGAGAGAGAGAGAGAGAGAGAGAGAGAGAGAGAGAGAGAGAGGAUAUGGGGAGAGGAAAUGGGAGAUAUCAUACUCCUAUAACCAAACGUGCCACGAACUUUUAAGCGUCAGAUGAGGAGAGGAGGAAGAGGAGGAGGAGGAGGAGGAGGAGGAGGAGGAGGAGGAGGAGGAGGAGGAGGAGGAGGAGGAGGAGGAUAAAGUUGAUGGGAUGAAUACAUAGUAGAUACGAAGAAAAGAAAAAGGAACAAUUAGCGAUGAUAAGAAAAAAAAAUAAAGGGGAAAGAAUAGGAGAAAGAAGCAAAAGAAUAGGAGAUGUAGGAGGAGGAGGAGGAGGAGGAGGAGGAGGAGGAGGAGGAGGAGGAGGAAGCUGGUGUUAUGAAAAGUGUUAGGCGAUGUGUUCCAGAGGCUUAGGUGUUCCUGUUGCUGUUGCUGUCACGAUGUCUAGCUGGAUACCAUAAUAAACAGUCUUCAAAUCCCUGGUUUCCUAUACGCUUACCUGUCUAGUCUGUCUAUCCAGUCUUCUAAGCGUUCCCACUGUCUAUCUUUAGCCUCCUAGCUAUUUCGUACUACUACUACUACUAAUACCGUUAUUUUUAUUAUUUAUUUUCCUUCAUCCAUUACGGUUAUUGCUUUGUGGCAUUGGAGACUCUUUUCUAUGUUCACGAUCGUCAUUUGUUUGUUCCGAUCCCCCUCAUCGUGUAUAUAACAAUAAUACGGAGGUGUAGAUGUUCGUUCGUUCGUUUAAUGGUGAUCAUACUUCAUACAUACAUCCAACUUUAAGUACCAUAAUAAUUAUCACAUUAUUAUUAUUACUACUACCAUCAUUAUUAUUACUACAUACAAAUAUCCUGCCUUAUUUAUUUAUCUAUUCACUUUAACUCUUCGUUGUCGCAUUCAAAAUAAAACCGAUAAUUUAC